RNAcentral lists this ribosomal RNA (252 nucleotides) under uncultured bacterium. RNAcentral's name for it is "partial 16S ribosomal RNA". It matches the Rfam family "Bacterial small subunit ribosomal RNA", at positions 524 to 776 of the family's 1533-position model. The record is from RNAcentral.
UACGGAGGAUGCGAGCGUUAUCCGGAUUUAUUGGGUUUAAAGGGUGCGCAGGCGGCACGGCAAGCCGGCGGUCAAAUCGCGGGGCUCAACCCCGCCCAGCCGUCGGAACUGCCGGGCUAGAGUGGGCGAGAAGUGCGCGGAAUGCGUGGUGUAGCGGUGUAAUGCAUAGAUAUCACGCAGAACUCCGAUUGCGAAGGCAGCGCACCGGCGCCCUACUGACGCUCAGGCACGAAAGCGUGGGUAUCGAACAGG